CCCUUAGAUGUUCUGGGCCGCACGCGCGCUACACUGACUACUUCAACGAGUUGUUUCCUUGAUCGAAAGGUCUGGAUAAUCUUUGAAAGGUAGUCGUGAUGGGGAUAGAUCCUUGCAAUUUUUGAUCUUCAACGAGGAAUUCCUAGUAAACGCAAGUCAUCAGCUUGCAUUGAUUACGUCCCUGCCCUUUGUACACACCGCCCGUCGCACCUACCGAUUGAAUGGUCCGGUGAAUCUUUAGGACUGUGGCUGAGGCCUUGCCUUGUGCGGGUCUGGCCGUGGGAAUUUAGUUAAACCUUACCAUUUAGAGGAAGGUGAAGUCGUAACA
RNAcentral lists this ribosomal RNA (328 nucleotides) under uncultured eukaryote. RNAcentral describes it as "partial 18S ribosomal RNA". It matches the Rfam family "Eukaryotic small subunit ribosomal RNA", at positions 1470 to 1796 of the family's 1831-position model. The record is from RNAcentral.